RNAcentral lists this transfer RNA (74 nucleotides) under Hyphomicrobiales bacterium. Its description in RNAcentral is "Rhizobiales bacterium tRNA-OTHER". It matches the Rfam family "tRNA". Rfam says of the family: Transfer RNA (tRNA) molecules are approximately 80 nucleotides in length. Lineage: Bacteria; Pseudomonadati; Pseudomonadota; Alphaproteobacteria; Hyphomicrobiales. The record is from RNAcentral.
CGGGGAGUAGCUCAGUGGAAGAGCUGCGGCGGUCCAACGUCGACGACGGAGGUCGAUCCCUUCCUCCCCUGCCA